RNAcentral lists this ribosomal RNA (1240 nucleotides) under metagenome. RNAcentral describes it as "bacterial LSU rRNA". It matches the Rfam family "Bacterial large subunit ribosomal RNA", at positions 1564 to 2815 of the family's 2925-position model. The record is from RNAcentral.
UGAAUACGAGACGCUAAGGCGUUGAAGUAGUGUAUGUCAUACUUCCAAGAAAAGCUUGCACUGUCAUAGAUAAAAAACGCCUGUACCAUAACCGACACAGGUGGGUAGGUAGAGUAUACUAAGGGGCGCGAGAUAACUCUCUCUAAGGAACUCGGCAAAAUAACUCCGUAACUUCGGGAGAAGGAGUGCCUUAUUUAUAAGGCUGCAAUAACAAGAUCCAAGCAACUGUUUAUCAAAACACAGGUCUCCGCUAAGUCGUAAGACGAUGUAUGGGGGCUGACGCCUGCCCAGUGCCAGAAGGUUAAAGAAGUUGGUUAGCAAUAGCGAAGCUGAUAACUGAAGCCCUGGUGAACGGCGGCCGUAACAAUAACGGUCCUAAGGUAGCGAAAUUCCUUGUCGGGUAAGUUCCGACCCGCACGAAAGGCGUAAUGAUUUGGAUACUGUCUCGGAGAGGGGCUCGGUGAAAUAGACUUGUCUGUGAAGAUGCGGACUACCUGCACCAGGACAGAAAGACCCUAUGAAGUUUUACUAUAACUUGAAAUUGAAAUUGGACUUUAUUCGCGCAGUAUAGGUGGGAGGCGUUGAUUGUAAUCUUGCGGGAUUAUUGGAGCCAUCAGUGAGAUACCACCCUUGUAAUGUUAGAUUUCUAACUUUGAAUCAUUAUCUGGUCAAAGAACAGUUUCAGGCGGGCAGUUUGACUGGGGCGGUCGCCUCCUAAACGGUAACGGAGGCGUACAAAGGUUUCCUCUGAACGGUUAGAAAUCGUAUCUAGAGUGUAAAGGCAUAAGGAAGCUUGACUGUGAGACCUACAAGUCGAGCAGGGACGAAAGUCGGUCUUAGUGAUCUGACGGUACUGAGUGGAAAGGCCGUCACUCAACGGAUAAAAGUUACUCUAGGAUAACAGGCUGAUCUCCCCCAAGAGUUCACAUCGACGGGGAGGUUUGGCACCUCGAUGUCGGCUCAUCGCAUCCUGGGGCGGUAGUACGUCCCAAGGGUUGGGCUGUUCGCCCAUGAAAGCGGUACGCGAGCUGGGUUCAGAACGUCGUGAGACAGUUCGGUCCAUAUCCGGUGUAGGCGUUAGAAUAUUGAGAGGAGCCUUCUUUAGUACGAGAGGACCGAGAAGGACAUACCUCUGGUGUACCAGUUAUCGUGCCAACGGUAAACGCUGGGUAGCUAUGUAUGGAGUGGAUAACCGCUGAAAGCAUCUAAGUGGGAAGCCCACCUCAAGAUAAGUAUUCCC